RNAcentral lists this ribosomal RNA (242 nucleotides) under uncultured bacterium. RNAcentral's name for it is "partial 16S ribosomal RNA". It matches the Rfam family "Bacterial small subunit ribosomal RNA", at positions 1250 to 1500 of the family's 1533-position model. The record is from RNAcentral.
CUACCGGGCGACCGGAUGCGGAUCUCGAAAGCCUGUCCCAGUUCGGACUGGAGUCUGCAACCCGACUCCNCGAAGUUGGAUUCGCUAGUAAUCGCGCAUCAGCCAUGGCGCGGUGAAUACGUUCCCGGGCCUUGUACACACCGCCCGUCAAGCCAUGGGAGCCGGGGGCGCCUGAAGUCCGGGACCGCGAGGACCGGCCUAGGGCGAAACUGGUAACUGGGGCUAAGUCGUAACAAGGUACC